AUGGGUGGAGCCCCACUCCUCUACUCGACUCCAUUAAGUCAACUCUUGACAACUGUUCUUCUUGGCCUUUGGUUUCUACUGCUCAAGGGACCCUGUAUCAUUUCUGGACAGUGUGGUCUUCUCCACAGUACUCUCUUACCCCCUGGAAUCUGUCUUCUGUUGGCUGAUGUCUGCUGGGACACUGGAUCCUCAGGGACCAUUUUCUGCAUGAAAAUCAGUAGAGUGUAUAUUUCAUUGUCUGUCCAGCAAAGACAUGCUCUGCAGGGCCGUGAAUUCACCCCUCUGGCCUAUCUCUGCAUUCAUCCACGGGGCAAGCUGGCAAAUGGGGAAGCUUGGAGAACGAUGAGCCCAGCCCUCCACCAUGGCACCGACUGA
This 375-nucleotide long non-coding RNA is filed under the name Capra hircus (goat). Its description in RNAcentral is "lncRNA (ENSCHIG00010010620.1)". Lineage: Eukaryota; Metazoa; Chordata; Mammalia; Artiodactyla; Bovidae. The record is from RNAcentral.